Molecule: regulatory RNA element, 289 nt
Organism: Meleagris gallopavo (turkey)
Lineage: Eukaryota; Metazoa; Chordata; Aves; Galliformes; Phasianidae
Rfam family: Retroviral 3'UTR stability element
Source: Rfam
CAGCGCUUGCCCACCUAGUGCAACAGGAACUACGGUUGGGUCACUUAGAAUGCUCGCUCAGUUGCUGGAACACUCCUGUAUUUGUGAUUCGCAAACCCUCUGGGUCCUACAGACUUCUGCAUGAUCUUCACGCUAUCAAUUCCCAGCUUGUUCCCUUCGGGCCGGUGCAGCAAGGUGGACCUCUGCUCUCUGCGAUCCCGAGGGGAUGGCCCCUUAUGGUCAUUGAUCUUAAGGACUGUUUCUUCUCUAUUCCUCUUGCUGAGCAGGAUCGGGAAGCCUUUGCCUUCAC